UUGAACGCUGGCGGUAUGCUUAACACAUGCAAGUCGAACGGAAACGAUACUAGCUUGCUAGUAGGCGUCGAGUGGCGGACGGGUGAGUAACGCGUAGGAAUCUACCUGAUAGUGGGGGAUAGCCCGAAGAAAUUCGGAUUAAUACCGCAUAAUCUAUUCGUAGUAAAGUGGGGGACUUUCGAGCCUCACGCUAUCAGAUGAGCCUGCGUAAGAUUAGCUAGUUGGUAGGGUAAAAGCCUACCAAGGCUACGAUCUUUAGCUGGUCUGAGAGGAUGAUCAGCCACAUCGGGACUGAGACACGGCCCGAACUCCUACGGGAGGCAGCAGUGGGGAAUAUUGGACAAUGGGGGCAACCCUGAUCCAGCAAUACCGCGUGUGUGAAGAAGGCCUGAGGGUUGUAAAGCACUUUCAAUUGUGAAGAAAAGCUAGUGGUUAAUAGCCAUUAGCCUUGACGUUAACUUUAGAAGAAGCACCGGCUAACUCCGUGCCAGCAGCCGCGGUAAUACGGAGGGUGCAAGCGUUAAUCGGAAUUACUGGGCGUAAAGCGUGCGUAGGCGGUUUAUUAAGUCAGAUGUGAAAGCCCCGGGCUUAACCUGGGAACUGCAUUUGAAACUGGUCAACUAGAGUAUGGUAGAGGAAAGUGGAAUUUCUGGUGUAGCGGUGAAAUGCGUAGAUAUCAGAAGGAACAUCAAUGGCGAAGGCAACUUUCUGGACCAAUACUGACGCUGAGGUACGAAAGCGUGGGGUAGCAAACAGGAUUAGAUACCCUGGUAGUCCACGCCGUAAACGAUGAUAACUAGCCGUUGGGGGGAUUUACCCCUUAGUGGCGAAGCUAACGCGUUAAGUUAUCCGCCUGGGGAGUACGGCCGCAAGGUUAAAACUCAAAGGAAUUGACGGGGACCCGCACAAGCGGUGGAGCAUGUGGUUUAAUUCGAUGCAACGCGAAGAACCUUACCUGGUCUUGACAUCCUGAGAACUUUCUAGAAAUAGAUUGGUGCCUUCGGGAACUCAGUGACAGGUGCUGCAUGGCUGUCGUCAGCUCGUGUCGUGAGAUGUUGGGUUAAGUCCCGUAACGAGCGCAACCCCUAUCCUUAUUUGCCAGCACAUCAUGGUGGGAACUAUAAGGAGACUGCCGGUGAUAAACCGGAGGAAGGCGGGGACGACGUCAAGUCAUCAUGGCCCUUACGACCAGGGCUACACACGUGCUACAAUGGGAAGGACAAAGAGCCGCGAAGCCGCGAGGUGUAGCUAAUCUCAGAAACCUUUUCGUAGUCCGGAUUGGAGUCUGCAACUCGACUCCAUGAAGUCGGAAUCGCUAGUAAUCGUAGAUCAGAAUGCUACGGUGAAUACGUUCCCGGGUCUUGUACUCACCGCC
Molecule: ribosomal RNA, 1375 nt
Filed under: uncultured marine bacterium
Lineage: Bacteria
Description: bacterial SSU rRNA
Rfam family: Bacterial small subunit ribosomal RNA
Source: RNAcentral